This 114-nucleotide ribosomal RNA is filed under the name Parcubacteria group bacterium RIFCSPLOWO2_01_FULL_40_65. RNAcentral's name for it is "partial 16S ribosomal RNA". It matches the Rfam family "Bacterial small subunit ribosomal RNA", at positions 1315 to 1428 of the family's 1533-position model. The record is from RNAcentral.
CCUCCAUGAAGCCGGAAUCGCUAGUAAUCGCGGAUCAGAACGCCGCGGUGAAUACGUUCUCUGGUCCUGCACUCACCGCCCGUCAAGUCAAAGGAGAUGGGAGUACGUGAAGCC